RNAcentral lists this unclassified non-coding RNA (170 nucleotides) under uncultured Lecanoromycetes. Its description in RNAcentral is "sequence contains ITS1". The record is from RNAcentral. Lineage: Eukaryota; Fungi; Ascomycota; Lecanoromycetes.
AAGAGUUAGGGGCUCUGCCCCGAACCUCCAACCCAUUGCGAACCUUACCAUUGUUGCUUUGGCGGGCCCGCGGGGUCCCCCCGCCGCCGGCUCUUGCCCGACGAGCGCCCGCCAGAGUCCACCUAAAACUCGUUUAAUCGGUGACGUCUGAGCAAAAUUUUAAUAGCAAA